GACGAACGCUGGCGGCGUGCUUAACACAUGCAAGUCGAACGGAAAGGCCCUGCUUUUGUGGGGUGCUCGAGUGGCGAACGGGUGAGUAACACGUGAGUAACCUGCCCUUGACUUUGGGAUAACUUCAGGAAACUGGGGCUAAUACCGGAUAGGAGCUCCUGCUGCAUGGUGGGGGUUGGAGAGUUUCGGCGGUUGGGGAUGGACUCGCGGCUUAUCCGCUUGUUGGUGGGGUAGUGGCUUACCAAGGCUUUGACGGGUAGCCGGCCUGAGAGGGUGACCGGCCACAUUGGGACUGAGAUACGGCCCAGACUCCUACGGGAGGCAGCAGUGGGGAAUAUUGCACAAUGGGCGGAAGCCUGAUGCAGCAACGCCGCGUGCGGGAUGACGGCCUUCGGGUUGUAAACCGCUUUCGCCUGUGACGAAGCGUGAGUGACGGUAAUGGGUAAAGAAGCACCGGCUAACUACGUG
RNAcentral lists this ribosomal RNA (468 nucleotides) under uncultured bacterium. RNAcentral's name for it is "partial 16S ribosomal RNA". It matches the Rfam family "Bacterial small subunit ribosomal RNA", at positions 28 to 507 of the family's 1533-position model. The record is from RNAcentral.